AUUGAACGCUAGCGGGAUGCCUUACACAUGCAAGUCGAACGGCAGCGCGGACUUCGGUCUGGCGGCGAGUGGCGAACGGGUGAGUAAUGUAUCGGAACGUGCCCAGUAGCGGGGGAUAACUACCCGAAAGAGUAGCUAAUACCUCAUACGCCCUACGGGGGAAAGGGGGGGAUCGCAAGACCUCUCACUAUUGGAGCGGCCGAUAUCGGAUUAGCUAGUUGGUGAGGUAAAGGCUCACCAAGGCGACGAUCCGUAGCUGGUUUGAGAGGACGACCGGCCACACUGGGAAUGGGGUACGGCCCAGACUCCUACGGGAGGCAGCAGUGGGGAAUUUUGGACAGUGGGGGCAACCCUGAUCCAGCCAUUCCGCGUGUGCGAUGAAGGCCUUCGGGUUGUAAAGCACUUUUGGCAGGAAAGAAAUCGCACGGAUUAAUACUCUGUGUGGAUGACGGUACCUGCAGAAUAAGCACCGGCUAACUACGUGCCAGCCGCCGCCGUAA
This 500-nucleotide ribosomal RNA is filed under the name uncultured bacterium. RNAcentral's name for it is "partial 16S ribosomal RNA". It matches the Rfam family "Bacterial small subunit ribosomal RNA", at positions 30 to 523 of the family's 1533-position model. The record is from RNAcentral.